Molecule: transfer RNA, 83 nt
Filed under: Candidatus Sericytochromatia bacterium
Lineage: Bacteria; Bacillati; Candidatus Sericytochromatia
Description: tRNA-Leu
Rfam family: tRNA
About the family: Transfer RNA (tRNA) molecules are approximately 80 nucleotides in length. Their secondary structure includes four short double-helical elements and three loops (D, anti-codon, and T loops).
Source: RNAcentral
GCCGAAGUGGCGAAAUGGCAGACGCACUAGACUCAGAAUCUAGUUCCUUAACGGGAGUGUGGGUUCAAGUCCCAUUUUCGGCA